CUACGGAGGGUGCAAGCGUUAUUCGGAAUCACUGGGCGUAAAGGACGCGUAGGCGGGUUGGCAAGUCAGAUGUGAAAUCCUACAGCUUAACUGUAGAACUGCAUUUGAAACUGCUAACCUAGAGUAUGGGAGGGGGAGAUGGAAUUAGUGGUGUAGGGGUAAAAUCCGUAGAUAUCACUAGGAAUACCAAAAGCGAAGGCGAUCUCCUGGAACAUAACUGACGCUAAGGCGUGAAAGCGUGGGGAGCAAACAGGAUUAGAAACCCUUGUAGUCC
This 274-nucleotide ribosomal RNA is filed under the name uncultured bacterium. Its description in RNAcentral is "partial 16S ribosomal RNA". It matches the Rfam family "Bacterial small subunit ribosomal RNA", at positions 523 to 796 of the family's 1533-position model. The record is from RNAcentral.